AGGACGAACGCUUGCGGCGCGCCUAAUACAUGCAAGUCGAACGAGGUAGCAAUACCAAGUGGCGCACGGGUGGGUAACGCGUGGAUAAUCUGCCUAUCAGUGGGGAAUAACUAACCGAAAGGUUAGCUAAUACCGCAUGAGGCCACAGGACCUGCGGGUCUAGGGGUUAAAGAUUUAUCGCUGAUAGAUGAGUCUGCGUGGGAUUAGCUAGUUGGUGGGGUAACGGCCUACCAAGGCAACGAUCUCUAACAGGUCUGAGAGGAUGACCUGUCACACUGGAACUGAGACACGGUCCAGACUCCUACGGGAGGCAGCAGUAGGGAAUAUUGCGCAAUGGGGGAAACCUGACGCAGCGACGCCGCGUGAGUGAUGAAGGCCUUAGGGUCGUAAAGCUCUGUUGAAGUGGAAAGAAACAAAGUGACGGUACCAUUCGAAGAAAGGACGACUAACUCGUGCCAGCAGCCGAC
Molecule: ribosomal RNA, 467 nt
Filed under: uncultured soil bacterium
Lineage: Bacteria
Description: bacterial SSU rRNA
Rfam family: Bacterial small subunit ribosomal RNA
Source: RNAcentral